AUACGUAGGUGACAAGCGUUAUCCGGAUUUACUGGGCGUAAAGGGCGUGUAGGCGGUCUUGCAAGUCAGAAGUGAAAUUCCUGAGCUCAACUCGGGCGCUGCUUCUGAAACUGCAGGACUUGAGUGCUGGAGGGGAUAGCGGAAUUCCUAGUGGAGCGGUAAAAUGCGCAGAUAUUAGGAAGAACACCGGUGUCGAAGGCGGCUAUCUGGACAGUAACUGACGCUGAGGAGCGAAAGCGUGUGGAGCAAACAGGAUUAGAUCCCCUGGUACUCCACGCCGUAAACGAUGAAUACUAGGUGUAGUGGGUAUCGACUCCCUCUGUGCCGCAGUUAACACAAUAAGUAUUCCGCCUGGGGAGUACGGCCGCAAGGUUGAAACUCAAAUGAAUUGACGGGG
This 397-nucleotide ribosomal RNA is filed under the name uncultured bacterium. Its description in RNAcentral is "partial 16S ribosomal RNA". It matches the Rfam family "Bacterial small subunit ribosomal RNA", at positions 523 to 918 of the family's 1533-position model. The record is from RNAcentral.